Molecule: non-coding RNA, 148 nt
Filed under: Nomascus leucogenys (northern white-cheeked gibbon)
Lineage: Eukaryota; Metazoa; Chordata; Mammalia; Primates; Hylobatidae
Source: Rfam by way of RNAcentral
GCUGGGUGUGGUGGUAUGCACCUGUAGUCCUAGCUACUUAGGAGGCUGAGGCAGGAGGAUUACUUGAGCCCAGGAGUUGGAGGCUACAGUGAGCUAUAAUCAUGCCACUGUACUCCAUCCUGGGUGACAGAGUAAGACCCUGUCUCUG